Molecule: transfer RNA, 87 nt
Filed under: Clostridia bacterium
Lineage: Bacteria; Bacillati; Bacillota; Clostridia
Description: tRNA-Leu
Rfam family: tRNA
About the family: Transfer RNA (tRNA) molecules are approximately 80 nucleotides in length. Their secondary structure includes four short double-helical elements and three loops (D, anti-codon, and T loops). Further hydrogen bonds mediate the characteristic L-shaped molecular structure. tRNAs have two regions of fundamental functional importance: the anti-codon, which is responsible for specific mRNA codon recognition, and the 3' end, to which the tRNAs corresponding amino acid is attached (by aminoacyl-tRNA synthetases). tRNAs cope with the degeneracy of the genetic code in two manners: having more than one tRNA (with a specific anti-codon) for a particular amino acid; and 'wobble' base-pairing, i.e. permitting non-standard base-pairing at the 3rd anti-codon position.
Source: RNAcentral
GCUGCUGUGGUGGAAUAGGCAGACACAAGGGACUUAAAAUCCCUCGAGGGCGACUUCGUACCGGUUCAAGUCCGGUCAGCAGCACCA